Molecule: long non-coding RNA, 576 nt
Filed under: Olea europaea subsp. europaea
Lineage: Eukaryota; Viridiplantae; Streptophyta; Magnoliopsida; Lamiales; Oleaceae
Source: RNAcentral
UACAGCAAGAUGUGACGAUUGCAGUUUUAAAAGUGCAGUUACACUGCAAGGGGUGCAUAAAGAAAAUCCUCGAAAUUGUGAACAAAACAAAAAGUGAGUAGCUACCAUGUUACGUUUACUAAAUUGAAGUGCUCAACGGAGACAUUGAUGGCAUUAUUGGGUAUGAAGUUGUGCAAAUAGACAGAUGGAAGGAUUUAAUGACAAUGAUGGGAGCAAUGGACAUGAAGGCUUUGGCUGAGUCUCUGAAUGAACAUAGGAGGAUUUGAUAUUUUGCUCAUCUAGACGAUUACCCUUUGCAAUCAAAUUUGGAUUAAACCGACUGCUUUCAUGAAGAAAAUAAAAUAAUACUCUUAAGAUAUAUAUUCGUUUGCAAAUUCCUGCUUCUUUUUCACAUUGUAUAUAGUUCUGUUGGCAUUAUGUACAAGUUUGAUUUACUUCCAAUCUCAAAUGUUGUGAUUGUUUGCUAAACUGCCAUUCUUGAACCUUGCAAGAUAAUGAAGUUGUCACUAUCCAUGUUUGUUAUUUUCUUAUGUAAUGUUCAAGGCAUUGAGUCAUUGACAUAUAUGUACUGUUGGG